CCUACGGGAGGCAGCAGUGGGGAAUUUUGGACAAUGGGCGCAAGCCUGAUCCAGCUAUUCCGCGUGUGGGAAGACGGCCUUCGGGUUGUAAACCACUUUUGUAGAGAACGAAAAGUCUGUUGAUAAUACCGAUAGAUGAUGACGGAACUCUAAGAAUAAGCACCGGCUAACUACGGGCCAGCAGCCGCGGUAAUACGUAGGGUGCGAGCGUUAAUCGGAAUUACUGGGCGGAAGGGGUGUGCAGGCGGGUUUGCAAGCUGGAUGUGAAAGCCCCGGGCUUAACCUGGGAAAGCCAUACAUGACUGCAAGACUAGAGUGCGUCAGAGGGGGGUGGAAUUCCAAGUGUAGCAGUGAAAUGCGUAGAUAUUUGGAAGAACACCGAUGGCGAAGGCAGCCCCCUGGGACGCAACUGACGCUCAUACACGAAAGCGUGGGGAGCAAACAGGAUUAGAUACCCGGGUAGUC
Molecule: ribosomal RNA, 465 nt
Filed under: uncultured bacterium
Lineage: Bacteria
Description: partial 16S ribosomal RNA
Rfam family: Bacterial small subunit ribosomal RNA
Source: RNAcentral